Molecule: ribosomal RNA, 491 nt
Filed under: Paenibacillus sp. T-61
Lineage: Bacteria; Bacillati; Bacillota; Bacilli; Caryophanales; Paenibacillaceae
Description: bacterial SSU rRNA
Rfam family: Bacterial small subunit ribosomal RNA
Source: RNAcentral
AGUAACACGUAGGCAACCUGCCCUUCAGACUGGGAUAACUACCGGAAACGGUAGCUAAUACCGGAUAAUUUCUUUUUUCUCCUGAGAGAAGAAUGAAAGACGGAGCAAUCUGUCACUGAGGGAUGGGCCUGCGGCGCAUUAGCUAGUUGGUGGGGUAACGGCCCACCAAGGCGACGAUGCGUAGCCGACCUGAGAGGGUGAACGGCCACACUGGGACUGAGACACGGCCCAGACUCCUACGGGAGGCAGCAGUAGGGAAUCUUCCGCAAUGGGCGAAAGCCUGACGGAGCAACGCCGCGUGAGUGAUGAAGGUUUUCGGAUCGUAAAGCUCUGUUGCCAGGGAAGAACGUCCGGUAGAGUAACUGCUACCGGAGUGACGGUACCUGAAAAGAAAGCCCCGGCUAACUACGUGCCAGCAGCCGCGGUAAUACUUAGGGGGCAAGCGUUGUCCGGAAUUAUUGGGCGUAAAGCGCGCGCAGGAGGCUAUUUAA